This 253-nucleotide ribosomal RNA is filed under the name uncultured bacterium. Its description in RNAcentral is "partial 16S ribosomal RNA". It matches the Rfam family "Bacterial small subunit ribosomal RNA", at positions 524 to 776 of the family's 1533-position model. The record is from RNAcentral.
UACAGAGGUCUCAAGCGUUGUUCGGAUUCAUUGGGCGUAAAGGGUGCGUAGGCGGCGGGGCAAGUCAGGUGUGAAAUCCCGGGGCUCAACCCCGGAACUGCACUUGAUACUGCUUCGCUAGAGUACUGGAGAGGAGACUGGAAUUUACGGUGUAGCAGUGAAAUGCGUAGAGAUCGUAAGGAAGACCAGUGGCGAAGGCGAGUCUCUGGACAGUUACUGACGCUGAGGCACGAAGGCCAGGGGAGCAAACGGG